Molecule: ribosomal RNA, 485 nt
Filed under: Escherichia coli
Lineage: Bacteria; Pseudomonadati; Pseudomonadota; Gammaproteobacteria; Enterobacterales; Enterobacteriaceae
Description: partial 23S ribosomal RNA
Rfam family: Bacterial large subunit ribosomal RNA
Source: RNAcentral
AAGCGAACCAGGGGAACUGAAACAUCUAAGUACCCUGAGGAAAAGAAAUCAACCGAGAUUCCCCUAGUAGCGGCGAGCGAACGGGGAGCAGCCCAGAACCUUAAUCAGCGUAUGUGUCAGAGGAACGGUCUGGAAAGUCCGGCGAUACAGGGUGAUAGCCCCGUACUUGAAAAUGCAUAUGCUGUGAGUUCGAUGAGUAGGGCGGGACACGUGACAUCCUGUCUGAAUAUGGGGGGACCAUCCUCCAAGGCUAAAUACUCCUGACUGACCGAUAGUGAACCAGUACCGUGAGGGAAAGGCGAAAAGAACCCCGGCGAGGGGAGUGAAAUAGAACCUGAAACCGUGUACGUACAAGCAGUGGGAGCCUCUUUAUGGGGUGACUGCGUACCUUUUGUAUAAUGGGUCAGCGACUUAUAUUUUGUAGCAAGGUUAACCGAAUAGGGGAGCCGUAGGGAAACCGAGUCUUAACUGGGCGUCAAGUUGCA